GGUGGCUCAGUGGUAGAGUGUUUGCCUUGCAUGCAUGAGGCUCCGGGUUCGAUUCCUCGGCACCA
This 65-nucleotide transfer RNA is filed under the name Dipodomys ordii (Ord's kangaroo rat). It matches the Rfam family "tRNA". Rfam says of the family: Transfer RNA (tRNA) molecules are approximately 80 nucleotides in length. Their secondary structure includes four short double-helical elements and three loops (D, anti-codon, and T loops). The record is from Rfam by way of RNAcentral. Lineage: Eukaryota; Metazoa; Chordata; Mammalia; Rodentia; Heteromyidae.